This is a long non-coding RNA of Dreissena polymorpha, 486 nucleotides long. RefSeq lists it as uncharacterized. Lineage: Eukaryota; Metazoa; Mollusca; Bivalvia; Myida; Dreissenidae. The record is from RefSeq and is a predicted model, not a curated record. The transcript has 2 exons.
ACUCCAGAUUUUGAACAGCGGUUCAAACCAAGAACUGGCGAAUUGUGCCCGACACAAAAGAAACUGUAUAUUGCCAGUUUGACUCACGCAAUUAUGUUGAAGUAAUCCUUGUUAGCCAUCUGCUGUUCCAUGAGAAGUCGAAGGGAGUGCUGGAUAUGUACGAGACGGUGCCAAAGAUGCGUCUACUGCCGCUGGCAAGCCAAUCAAUUCGACUCUCAUACACGCUCACGGUGGCUGCCAGGUGCUUCUGGUACUCAAACAGCUGCGUCAUGUCCACGUGUACGUUCUUCACUGUCCCAUCAUGCCACUUGAACUGCACCAUGGCCUUCUGUUGACGUGACGAUAACAGAUUGUCAAUACUCCAAAUGCAUGUAUUUUAAACAGAAUGUUAUCAUCUACAUUAUCUUAUUCACAAUGAGUACCUCCUUGAUCUUUAUCACCAUCAUAAACAAAAAAGUAUUUUUGAAUAAAAGAUAUAUAUAUAUA